CAAUCAAAACUAAUUAGGUGCGUGUUGGCCAUGGAAGAUAAUCACAAUGCCGUUCCUUGGACCAGGCUUGAUGUGAAAUCAUUGCAGAAGGUUCUCAUAUCCAGACACUUGCAUAACAAGCAGAUGAGCUGUCCUGCAAUGGCCCGGAGUCUCUCCAACACGCUUUAUUUCAAGCGGUUUUUACCCUACUAUGCCUUAAAUGUUUUAGGAGGGCUUGACAAGGAAGGGUGUGUUUACUUAGGACGCUAUUGGAUCAGAUGAGAGAGUUGGAUACGGUGCUCAAGGUUCUGGUUCCACACUCAUCAUGCCUUGCCUUGAUAACCAGCUCAAGUUGCCGAGUCCUAUUCUGCUACCUAAACAGGUUUUAGCCAUCAAAAAGUCACUAACGAUGCCUUGAAGCCUUUCAAAGCUGCCGCUGAUCACUAACAAGAUACCCAAGGAGCCGAUGAUCCAUCCAUUAAGACAUCGAUCAAAUCGUUAGGAUUCUCUUGGUGGUUCUGCUAACAGAGCAGACAAAGCUAUGCUUUCUUCCUAUGGCUUUUAGGCUGGUGUUAAAGCAUUGCAGAAGGUUCCUAAAUCCAGUCCAUACACUUGAUCUAUUAACAUCAGCAUGACAGUCAGAUGAGUAUUCUUGCAAUGGUUCAGCUUCUCUCCAGCACGCUUUAUUUCAAGCGUUUUUCCCCUACUUAAUGUUCUAUGAGGGAUUGACGAGGAAGGUGAAAUGCCCUUCUUUGUUUACUUCGUUACAUUGUGUGAUCUUUAUUUUUGAUUAUAUUCAGGAAAAGGGGGUCAUAUGAGCAAAUUGGAUACGGUGCACAAGGUGCAUGUAUUGUUGGCCAUGGAAGGUACACAAGGAUCCAAGUGACGAGUCGAGAUGUUUGUUCUGUUGGCUGGUGGGGACUCGAGGAAUCUGCUUGCAGAACCAAACUCAAAAGGCCAAGUCUCUGCAGCAACAACUUUAUCCUUAAGAUUGAUCGGACAAAUAAGCCUUGAAGCCAUUCAAAGCUGGCGCUGAUCUCUUGCCCAAGAAAGACGAUUCACCCCUACCAUUAUUUGAUAGUUGCUACAUUGAAAUCUAACGAGGUGCAUGUUGGCCAUGUAAGAUAGACAAGGAGCCGAUGAUCCAUCCAUGUAGACAUCAAUCGAAUAGUUCCCCAACCAUAAUUGAUACAUAGAUGAGCUACUUAUUGUUUCUGAAUCUGGAAGCUCUUCACUUCAUAGCUCCAGCUUUUGCCUGCACCCCAAAGAAGUACACUACAUCUGCCAUAAUUUUAAGGGAUGACCUGCCCAACAAAUAACAACAAGUCAACAACAAGUCAACAACAACAAUGGGAAAAUCAUCUGAUCCAAACAUUGUUGAUGAAUACUAUUUGGUGGAAGUUCGUGUCUUUUCAAGUGAUGGAUGUUCAGUGGACGUUAUUUUGAUGGCGUUUCUUCUUCAACUCUCAUCAGAUUUGACUAGAAACUCCACAACGAAAAAAGGUAAAUAUUCUUGGGGUUUACGCUCUCUACAAAAACAACUCAUCACCGGAGUGGAGAAGAAGCUCAAUCAUCGAUGCAAAGACUCCAUUGCUGUUUUCAAACAAGUCAG
Molecule: non-coding RNA, 1591 nt
Organism: Camelina sativa (false flax)
Lineage: Eukaryota; Viridiplantae; Streptophyta; Magnoliopsida; Brassicales; Brassicaceae
Source: RefSeq, a predicted model, not a curated record